Molecule: ribosomal RNA, 468 nt
Filed under: uncultured bacterium
Lineage: Bacteria
Description: partial 16S ribosomal RNA
Rfam family: Bacterial small subunit ribosomal RNA
Source: RNAcentral
GACGAACGCUGGCGGCGUGCUUAACACAUGCAAGUCGAACGGAAAGGCCCUGCUUUUGUGGGGUGCUCGAGUGGCGAACGGGUGAGUAACACGUGAGUAACCUGCCCUUGACUUUGGGAUAACUUCAGGAAACUGGGGCUAAUACCGGAUAGGAGCUCCUGCUGCAUGGUGGGGGUUGGAAAGUUUCGGCGGUUGGGGAUGGACUCGCGGCUUAUCAGCUUGUUGGUGGGGUAGUGGCUUACCAAGGCUUUGACGGGUAGCCGGCCUGAGAGGGUGACCGGCCACAUUGGGCCUGAGAUACGGCCCAGACUACUACGGGAGGCAGCAGUGGAGAAUAUUGCACAAUGGGCGGAAGCCUGAUGCAGCAACGCCGCGUGCGGGAUGACGGCCUUCGGGUUGUAAACCGCUUUCGCCUGUGACGAAGCGUGAGUGACGGUAAUGGGUAAAGAAGCACCGGCUAACUACGUG